RNAcentral lists this ribosomal RNA (362 nucleotides) under uncultured bacterium. RNAcentral describes it as "bacterial SSU rRNA". It matches the Rfam family "Bacterial small subunit ribosomal RNA", at positions 28 to 368 of the family's 1533-position model. The record is from RNAcentral.
GAUGAACGCUGGCGGCGUGCUUAACACAUGCAAGUCGAACGAAGCAACUGUGAUUGAGACUUCGGUGGAUUGAUCAGUUGACUUAGUGGCGGACGGGUGAGUAACGCGUGGGUAACCUGCCUUGUACAGGGGGAUAACAGUUAGAAAUAUCAGAUAAUACCGAAUAUCCUUAUUGUUGUUAGAGGACAGUAAGGAAGGAGCUUUGGCUUCGCCUAAGGAUCGGCCCGCGUACUAUUAGCUAGUUGGUGAGGUAACGGCUCACCAAGGCGACGAUAGUUAUCCGGCCUAAGAGGGGUGAACGGACACAUUGGGACUGAGAUACGGGCCCAGACUCCUACGGGAGCAGCAGCUAAGAUAUUCCG